RNA transcript from Lolium perenne, 1435 nucleotides. RefSeq lists it as uncharacterized. Lineage: Eukaryota; Viridiplantae; Streptophyta; Magnoliopsida; Poales; Poaceae. The record is from RefSeq and is a predicted model, not a curated record.
UAUCCUUAAAGGCCUCUGGCCAACCCGGCCAACCAAGGCACCAAAAGGGGCAAAACCAUCGUGGUCGUUGUUUUGCGAUGCGACAGUAAAAAAUUCGACCCACUUUUACUCACAGCCGUCCGAUGCAGUGAUUUGUUUUGUUACUUGUUUGUCUUCGUGGAGUGUCAAUGACGUGUAGGACUAGAUACUUGCGGGGGCCAUCGGUCAGUGGCAGCCACGCGCGCUCAUUCCGGUUGCCUUCCUUAUACGCGUGGGUGAAAACCUAGAUCGGGAGUUCGGGACAAACCACUCCCCCCCCCCCAAUCAGCUGCAGCUCAUUCUCCUCUCCAGCUCCGCCUUCCGCGCCGCCAUUCGUCUCUCCCGCGUCUGGCCUCCUCCUCCGUGGCUGGAGGUCGCCAUUCUCGUGCCCCAGCAUGUGAACCCGACCAGGAAUGCUGCGGCGAUGGCGGCGAUGCGUAAGCUGCUGGCGGCGGGGAGAAAGAUGCACAUCACCAGCCUGAGGCGGCCGCUGGCGGCUGAGGAGGGGCAGCACGAGGGGUCGAGGUCGGAUCUUGGACCCAGGGUGGAGGAGCAGGAGCAGGCGGCUCUGGUGGGGCACUGUGUGAAGGAGAUGCUGGGGGCGGCGCUGGCCAAGAGGACGAGCUGCAGCCAUGGGAAGGCUCGAUCCCUGCUCCCCUUCCUCUCUCCCUUCUUCUUGUCUUUCAGUUCGUUUACUGCCAAUUUAGAUCGACCUUAUCAUCGUGAAGGAGAUGCUAGGGGCGGCGCUGGCCAGGAGAACGAGCUGCAGCCAUUGGAGUCUGAAUAUAAGAAUUGGUCUAAGAGAAGGCGCUUCUUGGCAUUGAAGAGAAUAACCUUGAUUAAGCACCUUGGGACUAUUUCAUCCGAGCUUUUCGUACUCAGGCUCAGGCCAAAAAAAAAACAGAUGAGUGACCCAGGUACUUGGUAGAUGGAACACAGUUAACCAAGACAGCAGACUUGCUCCAUUGGCAAAAAUGGUACUGUGGCUAGAAAAGGGUGUGUGUGAUUUAGGGAUUGUAAUAAAAGUCCCAGACUUUAGCUACAGGUCUGGAUCUGGAGAUAGAAGGUUCUCUUGUGAUGCGGCAGUGACAGGGUAUGUCUGCGUGGAGGUCCGUCGAAGGCCGGAUGUCACCACUCUCUUUUAGCAUAGCUGCAUGAAAUGGUUAUGAGUUUACAGCUCCGCUUCAUGGUAGUAUAAGCUUUGUAGGAAUGGAGUAGUAUAUACAUUGUACGGUACAAGGAGAUAGCUUUGCGUCUAUCUGGAUGCGUGCAGAAUGUUUCCUUUUGCUUCUAACGUUGUUAUCUCACCAUUUUGGGUUUGGGAUUUUUUUCCCAACAAUAGAGCUAGCUCUACCUAUGAGUGCAGUUAUGAUCAAGCAAAACACAUUAUAUUAAUUUAACCUGUAUUCCUUUGCUC